GAUGAACGCUAGCGACAGGCCUAACACAUGCAAGUCGAGGGGCAGCGGGGGGCGGAAGCUUGCUUUGUCCUGCCGGCGACCGGCGCACGGGUGAGUAACACGUAUGGAACCUGCCCGCCACAGGGGGAGUAACCGGUAGAAAUGCCGACUAAUACCCCGUACUGCCCACCAGGGGCGGCAUGCCCUCGGUGGGGAAACGAAUUCAUGGGUGGCGGAUGGCCAUGCGGCGCAUUAGCUGGUUGGCGGGGUAAC
RNAcentral lists this ribosomal RNA (252 nucleotides) under uncultured bacterium. RNAcentral's name for it is "partial 16S ribosomal RNA". It matches the Rfam family "Bacterial small subunit ribosomal RNA", at positions 28 to 261 of the family's 1533-position model. The record is from RNAcentral.